AGGAACGGAGGCUGUGACGGUGGAGGGUGGCCAGGCAGCAGGAGGCCGGGGAAGCGGGUGUCCUGAAGCAGAGGCCGCGGCGCCACGUGUAUGGCAGCUUGCAGGAUAAAAGCCAAAGUGAUUGCUCCAAAUGGACAUCCAUGCCAGUCAUCUGUGCAUCUUCUGGUGUGUGCAGGACCCGAUGGAGGAGUGAUGAGACCUCAGAGCCAUGUCCAGGCUCUUCCAGUCAGUUGGUGGCCUCCACAAAUGCCAGCCAGCCCGCCCAAUGCAAGCUUCUGCUUGGCCAACGUGUAGCAGUUACGAUGCAGCAAUUGGAAGAGGCUGUGGGGAUCAGUAAUUCCAGUGGGGGAGCGACGGACACCCCUAAGAACCCAUUCCACGAUUUUAGUCCCAAAUUGGAUUUUGCUUGGAGAAAUUCUCUGCCCUGUAGUAGUGGUUUUUAAGAUCACAGAUAUUGGAGUAAGAAAGACAAGGCUCUUCUAUUUGCUGGUCUAUUGACUCACAGGGGAAUACCAGAGAACUUGGCAUCCAGAAAACAGUCAACAAAUGAAGACAGUGCAACUAAGACCUGGGCGCCAUGUUCCUUCCCUAAGGCUCAUUUCACUAGGAUGCUGUGUCAGCACGCGCACACACACACACACACACACUCACACACUCCAGGAAGCCUCUAAAAGAAAUGCAAGUGUUCUCCAGUAGAAGGAGCAUCGCUGAAAUUUACUCAACAGCACGGUCUUCGUGUCUUUCCCUCCCAGGCCCACACUCUCAGCUGCCUCCUCCCCUCUCGCUCCUUUCCUCCUGUGUUCUCCAGCAAGGUGCAGGAGCCCGUGGAGGAGACCCGGUUUCCAGCACCGAGGGGCUCAAGAAUCUCAGGUCACCUGUGAGAUGAGCUCUGAGCACUUGCCCACACUCCUGAGCAUGAACAUAAAGCCCCAUCACAUGCAGUGGCAGAUGGUUAAGACAACAACCAACCAUCUCGUCAGAUAAAAGCUUCGCUCCACUUAAAGUGGAUGAUUUUUAAAUUUGUUUGUAAAACCUUUGAUAUUUGACUACUAAGAAAUUAUAAGAUCCCUAUGGACAGGCAACUAAUUUUCUACAUUUCCUGGUUCUUUAAAAAUAAAUAAUUGUCAUAGGUCCUUAUUAAAGCUCUCAGAAUUGUACUUUUGAUUUCUAAUAAAUGCCAAAAUAUAUCUUAUCAAAUAUUUACAGUGGAGUCAGGCAUAAAGUCUAUAACCUCAAGAACAUGAACUGUCAAUUUAUACUACCGUGGACUCAAUUUGGCAAGUUAAGGGGUGAGGAAUGGGAUUUCAGGAAAAGCCAAAGGGUCUAAUUGUUUAUGAUACAUAUUUUAAGUAUCUGUCAUAAAAUGUGACCAAGCCUGUUGUAUUCUUUGAAUAGCUGAUUUCCCUGUUUUAUCCCCUCUUUGAGUUAUUUUCAUACAGUUUCACAGAUAACUGCAAUACUUUUUCUUAACCUGAGAUUUCUGAAGUUAAUAUGAUGGAACUGCUGUGUGACACUGGAAUUCGGACUGAGGGCGUUGAAGAAGAACAGGGCUUCCUCCCAGCCAAGGGCUCUUUAAUGCGGAGCCUGGAGCAGCCCAGAAAUCUUGCAGCAAAUCUACAAGAUGGGCCGUGACCGGGUCAAACGGAAAUCUCUUUCAGUACUUUGUUCAUGCCAUGCAAUACUCUUAUUCUCAUCAUUUUGAUAAGGAAUAGGUUUUUUUCCCCUUUAGUUCCUCUUCCCU
Long non-coding RNA from Homo sapiens (human), 1741 nucleotides. The record is from Ensembl. NCBI's taxonomy places the organism in Eukaryota, Metazoa, Chordata, Mammalia, Primates, Hominidae.